GGUUAAGCGACUAAGCGUACACGGUGGAUGCCUUGGCAGUCAGAGGCGAUGAAGGACGUGCUAAUCUGCGAUAAGCGUCGGUAAGGUGAUAUGAACCGUUAUAACCGGCGAUUUCCGAAUGGGGAAACCCAGUGUGAUUCGUCACACUAUCAUUAACUGA
This 160-nucleotide ribosomal RNA is filed under the name Shigella flexneri. RNAcentral's name for it is "partial 23S ribosomal RNA". It matches the Rfam family "Bacterial large subunit ribosomal RNA", at positions 1 to 161 of the family's 2925-position model. The record is from RNAcentral. Lineage: Bacteria; Pseudomonadati; Pseudomonadota; Gammaproteobacteria; Enterobacterales; Enterobacteriaceae.